GAUCACUGCUAUUGGGAUUCGACUAAGCCAUGCGAGUCGAGAGGGUUCGGCCCUCGGCGAACUGCUCAGUAACACGUGGAUAAUUUGCCCUUAGGUGGAGGAUAACCUCGGGAAACUGAGAAUAAUACUCCAUAGAUCUAGGAUGCUGGAAUGCACUUAGAUUGAAAGUUCCGGCGCCUAAGGAUAAGUCUGCGGACUAUCAGAUUGUAGUCAGGGUAAAGACCUGACUAGCCUACAACGGAUACGGGUUGUGAGAGCAAUAACCCGGGGACGAUAUCUGAGACACGAUAUCGGGCCCUACGGGGCGCAGCAGGCGCGAAACCUUCACAAUGUGCGAAAGCGCGAUGAGGGGAUCCCAAGUGCUUGCUCGUAAGAGUAAGCUGUUUUUAUGUCUAAAAGGCAUAGAGAGUAAGGGCUGGGUAAGACGGGUGCCAGCCGCCGCGGUAAUACCUGCAGCUCAAGUAGUGAUCGCUAUUAUUGGGCCUAAAACGUUCGUAGCCGGUUUGGUAAAUGCCUGGGUAAAUAGUGUAGCUUAACUAUACGAAUUCCGGGUAGACUGCCAAACUUGAGACCGGGAGAGGCUAGAGGUACUCCUGGGGUAGAGGUGAAAUUCUGUAAUCCUGAGGGGACCACCAGUGGCGAAGGCGUCUAGCUAGAACGGGUCUGACGGUGAGGAACGAGGCCCUGGGUCGCGAACCGGAUUAGAUACCCGGGUAGUCCAGGGUGUAAACGCUGCUUGCUUGAUGUUAGUUGGGCUCCGAGCCCAAUUAGUGUCGGAGAGAAGUUGUUAAGCAAGCUGCCUGGGAAGUACGAUCGCAAGAUUGAAACU
Molecule: ribosomal RNA, 829 nt
Filed under: uncultured archaeon
Lineage: Archaea
Description: bacterial SSU rRNA
Rfam family: Archaeal small subunit ribosomal RNA
Source: RNAcentral